Molecule: non-coding RNA, 1247 nt
Organism: Callithrix jacchus (white-tufted-ear marmoset)
Lineage: Eukaryota; Metazoa; Chordata; Mammalia; Primates; Cebidae
Source: RefSeq, a predicted model, not a curated record
GGACACAUACCACAUGCAUGUAAUCCUUAGGUCAAGUCUAACCUUUGUUAGGACUGAGACUUUCCUAGGAAAACAACUCUGGAUCUAUUAAAAUGCUAUAAAAUCAGAAAGGAUGACGUUGGCAUGUAAAAAUGUAAGGACAACAAUUAAGACAGUAGAGGCUCAUCAACUGAGUUUUUUCCAGAGAGGGGACCUUGUGAGGUUGACGUUGGAAUAUGAUUACAAUCUGAUGGAGACAUCUCCAGUUUAAGAUGCCAAACGGAACAUAUCAUUGCCUAUGGAAAUUCCAUUAAACUGAUGGUAAAGGAGGAAAAGGAUACAGGCAUGACAUGAAGAGACUGGAGAAGUAUCAUCAAUAGAUAAAGCAGAACAGAAAUAGCAACUGCCUGGACUACACCCAGAAAGGAAUAAUUUUGCUUGGCAGAAGCAUGAAACAGUUCCAUAUUUGAGAUGGCAUUUACCACUGAGGACUGUAUAUUCCUUGAGGACAAGAUCCGCACUUGAUUUGUCUUUAAAUAUACUCCUGCUGAAUGAUUUAAUUAAGAAUCUCUGUAUUAUGGAGUGGCAUCGCACCACAAAAUUCUGCCCAUAAAAGGUGAGUCAAAAAUCUUCAAAGGCGGCAGCACACUCUGAUGUGCAGAACAAGAAGUUGUCACAGCAGAUAGCAGGUGCUAGAAAUCCUGAUACUCGCUCUGGGUGGUGUAGACUUCCUACUGGAGGACACAGAGAAAGCCAGAUGCAAGUCUGACAUGGCUAAUUGGGAGGUGUGUGGUCCUCUUGGAGCCUUUUCUUGAGAUGUGACAGAGUGCCUGCCAAGACUAAUCAAACCCAACUGCUACCCACUUCUGCUGAAUCAUAUGGGGCUGCAUUGCAGCAUCUGAAGGAACCUGGGAUUUAUCUCUCAUGAUGUUGAAGCCCUAGAUAGGAAAUGGAAAGUCUGGGAACACAGGUGGUGUUUUCAUUUCUCUCUGCAUUCGAAGGCUAUAACUUUGGAAAGGACGGAGGAAGGGAAAUGAAAGUAAAUGGUGUUAGAGAACAGGAUGUAUCUUUUCUAGAUCAAGGGUAACAAUACCUUCUUAUUGGGCCAGACACAGGAUUCAGCUUAUGCAGACUUACCGGGACAGAGGUGCUCUGACUCAGUCAAAAAUAAUUAAAGCUAAAAUUAAUUAUUAAAAAAAUGGUAUAGUAAACAAUUAUGACACAGAUGAAACAAUUAGUAGAUGAGUUCCUAGUAAUUCUAAGGAAAA